AUUAGAUACCCGGGUAGUCCUAGCCGUAAACGAUACUCGCUAGGUGUCGGCCACGGUGCGACCGUUGUCGGUGCCGUAGGGAAGCCGUGAAGCGAGCCACCUGGGAAGUACGGCCGCAAGGCUGAAACUUAAAGGAAUUGGCGGGGGAGCACCACAACGGGUGGAGCUUGCGGUUUAAUUGGAUUCAACGCCGGAAAUCUUACCGGGACCGACAGCAAUAUGAAGGCCAGGCUGAAGACUUUGCCGGAUUAGCUGAGAGGAGGUGCAUGGC
This 271-nucleotide ribosomal RNA is filed under the name uncultured archaeon. RNAcentral describes it as "partial 16S ribosomal RNA". It matches the Rfam family "Archaeal small subunit ribosomal RNA", at positions 728 to 998 of the family's 1478-position model. The record is from RNAcentral. RNAcentral also lists the same sequence under 1 other name.